RNAcentral lists this ribosomal RNA (113 nucleotides) under Bacteroidota bacterium. RNAcentral also lists the same sequence under 1 other name. The record is from RNAcentral. Lineage: Bacteria; Pseudomonadati; Bacteroidota.
AAAGGUGGCUAUAGCGUGGGUGUACACCUCUUCCCAUUCCGAACAGAGCAGUUAAGCCCCACCGCGCCGAUGGUACUGGACUAAACCUCCGGAAGAGUAGGUCGCCGCCAACC